AGGAUGAACGCUGGCGGUAUGCCUAACACAUGCAAGUCGAACGGGUGUCUUCGGACAUUAGUGGCGGACGGGUGAGUAACGCGUGAGAAUCUGCCUUCAGGAUGGGGACAACAGUUGGAAACGACUGCUAAUACCCGAUAUGACGAAAGUUGAAAGAUUUAUCGCCUGGAGAUGAGCUCGCGUCAGAUUAGCUAGUUGGUGUGGUAAUGGCGCACCAAGGCGACGAUCUGUAGCUGGUCUGAGAGGACGAUCAGCCACACUGGGACUGAGACACGGCCCAGACUCCUACGGGAGGCAGCAGUGGGGAAUCUUGCGCAAUGGGCGAAAGCCUGACGCAGCAACGCCGCGUGGGGAUGAAGGCUCUCGGGUUGUAAACCCCUUUCAGCAGGGACGAAUCAAGACGGUACCUGCAGAAGAAGCCCGGCUAACUACGUGCCAGCAGCCGC
This 446-nucleotide ribosomal RNA is filed under the name uncultured bacterium. RNAcentral describes it as "SSU rRNA". It matches the Rfam family "Bacterial small subunit ribosomal RNA", at positions 26 to 518 of the family's 1533-position model. The record is from RNAcentral.